GACGAACGCUGGCGGCGUGCUUAACACAUGCAAGUCGAACGGAAAGGCCCUGCUUUUGUGGGGUGCUCGAGUGGCGAACGGGUGAGUAACACGUGAGUACCCUGCCACUGACUUUGGGAUAACUUCAGGCAACUGGGGCUAAUACCGGCUAGGAGCUCCUGCUGCAUGGUGGGGGUUGGAAAGUUUCGGCGGUUGGGGAUGGACUCGCGGCUUAUCAGCUUGUUGGUGGGGUAGUGGCUUACCAAGGCUUUGACGGGUAGCCGGCCUGAGAGGGUGACCGGCCACAUUGGGACGGAGAUACGGCCCAGACUCCUACGGGAGGCAGCAGUGGGGAAUAUUGCACAAUGGGCGGAAGCCUGAUGCAGCAACGCCGCGUGCGGGAUGACGGCCUUCGGGUUGUAAACCGCUUUCGCCUGUGACGAAGCGUGAGUGACGGUAAUGGGUAAAGAAGCACCGGCUAACUACGUG
Molecule: ribosomal RNA, 468 nt
Filed under: uncultured bacterium
Lineage: Bacteria
Description: partial 16S ribosomal RNA
Rfam family: Bacterial small subunit ribosomal RNA
Source: RNAcentral